RNAcentral lists this unclassified non-coding RNA (229 nucleotides) under plant metagenome. RNAcentral's name for it is "partial contains small subunit ribosomal RNA, internal transcribed spacer 1, and 5.8S ribosomal RNA". The record is from RNAcentral.
UCUCCGUAGGUGAACCUGCGGAGGGAUCAUUACAGAGUUCUCGCCCUCACGGGUAGAUCUCCCACCCACUGUUAUCGUUACUGUCGUUUCUUUGGCGGGCCCCGGGUCCCCGGCCGCCGGCGCCUAGCUGCCGGCGCGCGCCCGCCAGAGGCCUUCAAACUCUGAAUGUUAGUGUCGUCUGAGUACUAUAUAAUAGUUAAAACUUUCAACAACGGAUCUCUUGGUUCUG